UCUGUAGGUGGCCAACUAAGUCAGACGUGAAAUCCCUCAGCUUAACUGGGGAACUGCGUCUGAUACUGGUCGGCUUGAGUGCGGGAGAGGAACGCGGAAUUCCAGGUGUAGCGGUGAAAUGCGUAGAUAUCUGGAGGAACACCGGUGGCGAAGGCGGCGUUCUGGACUGCAACUGACACUGAGAGACGAAAGCCAGGGGAGCAAACG
RNAcentral lists this ribosomal RNA (207 nucleotides) under uncultured bacterium. RNAcentral describes it as "partial 16S ribosomal RNA". It matches the Rfam family "Bacterial small subunit ribosomal RNA", at positions 568 to 774 of the family's 1533-position model. The record is from RNAcentral.